RNAcentral lists this ribosomal RNA (499 nucleotides) under uncultured bacterium. RNAcentral describes it as "bacterial SSU rRNA". It matches the Rfam family "Bacterial small subunit ribosomal RNA", at positions 368 to 884 of the family's 1533-position model. The record is from RNAcentral.
GCAAUGGUGGAAACCCUGAGGCAGCACGCCGCGUGGAGGAUGAAGUCCCUUGGGACGUAAACUCCUUUCGACCGGGACGAUUAUGACGGUACCGGUGGAAGAAGCCCCGGCUAACUUCGUGCCAGCAGCCGCGGUAAUACGAGGGGGGCAAGCGUUGUUCGGAAUUAUUGGGCGUAAAGGGCGCGUAGGCGGUGCGGUAAGUCACCUGUGAAACCUCUAGGCUUAACCUAGAGCCUGCAGGCGAAACUGCCGUGCUAGAGGGUGGGAGAGGUGCGUGGGAUUCCCGGUGUAGCGGUGAAAUGCGUAGAUAUCGGGAGGAACACCUGUGGCGAAAGCGGCGCACUGGACCACUUCUGACGCUGAGGCGCGAAAGCUAGGGGAGCAAACAGGAUUAGAUACCCUGGUAGUCCUAGCCCUAAACGAUGGAUGCUUGGUGUGUCGGGUACCCAAUCCCGACGUGCCGAAGCUAACGCGAUAAGCAUCCCGCCUGGGGAGUACG